This 493-nucleotide ribosomal RNA is filed under the name uncultured bacterium. RNAcentral describes it as "bacterial SSU rRNA". It matches the Rfam family "Bacterial small subunit ribosomal RNA", at positions 29 to 529 of the family's 1533-position model. The record is from RNAcentral.
AACGAACGCUGGCGGCAGGCUUAACACAUGCAAGUCGAACGCCCCGCAAGGGGAGUGGCAGACGGGUGAGUAACGCGUGGGAAUCUACCCAGUUCUACGGAACAACACAGGGAAACUUGUGCUAAUACCGCAUACGUCCUACGGGAGAAAGAGGGCCUCUGCUUGCACGCUCUCACUCCAGGAUGAGCCCACGUCCGAUUAGCUAGUUGGUAGGGUAAAGGCCUACCAAGGCCACGAUCGGUAGCUGGUCUGAGAGGAUGAUCAGCCACACUGGGACUGAGACACGGCCCAGACUCCUACGGGAGGCAGCAGUGGGGAAUAUUGGACAAUGGGCGCAAGCCUGAUCCAGCAAUGCCGCGUGUGUGAAGAAGGCCUGCGGGUUGUAAAGCACUUUCAGUGGGAAGAACAGAUUCGGGUCAAUACCCCGGAGCCCUGACGUUACCCACAGAAGAAGCACCGGCUAACUCCGUGCCAGCAGCCGCGGUAAAGUGUG